GGCUGGUCCGAUGGUAGUGGGUUAUCAGAACUUAUUAACAUUAGUGUCACUAAAGUUGAUAUACAACCCCCCACUGCUAAAUUUGACUGGCUUUUU
Molecule: unclassified non-coding RNA, 96 nt
Organism: Ictidomys tridecemlineatus (thirteen-lined ground squirrel)
Lineage: Eukaryota; Metazoa; Chordata; Mammalia; Rodentia; Sciuridae
Rfam family: Y RNA
About the family: Y RNAs are components of the Ro ribonucleoprotein particle (Ro RNP), in association with Ro60 and La proteins. The Y RNAs and Ro60 and La proteins are well conserved, but the function of the Ro RNP is not known. In humans the RNA component can be one of four small RNAs -- hY1, hY3, hY4 and hY5.
Source: Ensembl